This 484-nucleotide ribosomal RNA is filed under the name uncultured bacterium. RNAcentral's name for it is "partial 16S ribosomal RNA". It matches the Rfam family "Bacterial small subunit ribosomal RNA", at positions 28 to 523 of the family's 1533-position model. The record is from RNAcentral.
GACGAACGCUGGCGGCGUGCUUAACACAUGCAAGUCGAACGAUGAAGCCGGAGCUUGCUCCGGUGGAUUAGUGGCGAACGGGUGAGUAACACGUGAGUAACCUGCCCUUGACUCUGGGAUAACUGCUAGAAACGGUAGCUAAUACCGGAUACGACCCUCGGUGGCAUCACCAGGGGGUGGAAAGAAUUUCGGUCAAGGAUGGACUCGCGGCUUAUCAGCUAGUUGGUGAGGUAACGGCUAACCAAGGCGACGACGGGUAGCCGGCCUGAGGGGGUGACCGGCCACACUGGGACUGAGACACGGCCCAGACUACUACGGGAGGCAGCAGUGGGGAAUAUUGCACAAUGGGCGCAAGCCUGAUGCAGCGACGCCGCGUGAGGGAUGAAGGUCUUCGGAUUGUAAACCUCUUUCAGUAGGGACGAAGCGAAAGUGACGGUACCUAAAGAAGAAGCACCGGCUAACUACGUGCCAGCAGCCGCCGUAA